AGGAAGUCGAGCGAACCAGAGAUUUCUGCUCCCUCUCGGACCUUUCUUCACUGAAGCAUCGAGACUCCAAGAACGAGAAUUCUCUUCUGGAUACCCUCGAUUGAACCUACAACGUCGACUCCAGUCCAAUCUUCCACCGCAAACAUUCGAAUCUCCGUCGACCGAGGCGCCUCCACCUCUGGUCGCUUUGAGCUCAGCCAGGUCGGAGAGAUGAAACGAAGUAUUGACAGAAAGAUGCCGAAGUCGCGGCCGAUCGGAGCCGCUCCCGAGCUUCACUGAUCGCGUCUCCCUGUUCUGCUCUGUUUGUCGUUCGGAGAUCUCGAAGUGCCUUGCACUCGCUGAAUCCUCCUUUGCCAGGUCCGAUCAUCAUCGGUGACGCCCAGGAGUCCUUCUCGUAAGUUCAGCGGCUGUUCGCGACUGCAAUCGCACAUCAUCAAGGCCCUGCGAGCACAAAGUCGAGGUUGUACAGCAGCAACUGGCGAAACUCCUGCUCUUUCUGCAUCCGCAUUGCUUUCAGCUUGAAAGGUUUGAGUAUGGGUAUACUCAUGUAAAUUUGGUAAGGAAAGAUCAACUCAGUACAUGUGAAUCCUGCUUUACCUAUUAUCUCUGUUUUUGGUUUUCCUUUGCUAUCCUGAGUUGGUUUUUUUUUUUUUUUGUGAUCGUAUUGGAAAGCUUGAGGUCCUGAAUAUUUUAAUUCCCAAAAAGAAAAAUUUUGUAGUAGCCACCGUCUUUGGGGAAUCAUUGAAUGGGAAUUGAUGUCUAGCGAUUUGUAGAACCAAGUUUAGUAGGCUUUGCUCUACAUUUGCUUUUCUUCAGUCCUUCUACCAAAACCCCUCUGGCAUGUGAUGAAGCUAUAUUAAUAUGAUCAUUUACCUUAGCAUUUUUUUGGAUAGAGAAACUCAUUCGAUUAAUCGAAGCCAGGGAUUAAACCGAAGUUUUAAUUUGAUAUAAACUCAUAAUCGGGUUAUGUGUUUUGUGUUCUGUUUUACAACACGGAUGUUUAUUCAUGUAGCUGAUACUUGAAUAUGCUUCAUAAAAUGAGUGGGCAAUGGAUGAGUGUUAAGAAUACAUGUCAAUUUUGAAAGAAAUAGGACCAUAGUCACGUUUGAUCAUGCUGGAAUGUAACUUGGAUUUGCUGACUUAUCUAAUUGAAGCUCAAUUUCAAUUCGUUGUGAUGUCAUUUUUAUCAUAUGAACAAGUAUGAUGACCUAGGAGACUGUCAUGGUGAAUUGGUGAUAAUUUUUCAACAGAUAACCAUGUUGUUGUGCCUUGAAAAUGCUGGAUAUGGGCUGUCAUCACUAUUCCUUUGUUGGUCAUUCCUUUCUCGGUGUAGACUGAAUUCAUGUGAAGCCCCAUCUAAGUGCUGUUCUAAUUAGCCGUGAUGCGGUGUUUGUAUGUUGAUGAUUUCUUAAUCAUUGGGCAUGUUUGUUGCCAAUUGCUUUGAUUGAGGUAAUGCUGAAAUUCAUGGAGUAUCUCAGUGAAGAUCUGAUUCACAGGAGGGACCGAGAAUAAGAGAAGGGAACGAAAAUAAUAAAAAAAUAAUAUUAAAAAUCUUGAAAAUAAAAAUAAAAUGGAAAAAUGUUAGAAUUUGGUAUCAGAAUUAUCUUGGAAUUAGUUUAGUUUCAAUUAGUUAGUGUACACAUGGUUUAAUGUUUUAUUGGACACCUUUGAUUUAGUCUUAGAUGGUUGAUCAUUUAGAAAAUAAAUUGAACUCAAUUUGAAUUAAGCUCAUGGGGUUGUUAUCAUGGGGUUUAAUAGCAAGGCCAUGUAAUAUUUUUUACCUAACUUAUAUUGAGUUAUUUUACUA
This is a long non-coding RNA of Eucalyptus grandis, 1807 nucleotides long. RefSeq lists it as uncharacterized. The record is from RefSeq and is a predicted model, not a curated record. The transcript is spliced from 2 exons. Lineage: Eukaryota; Viridiplantae; Streptophyta; Magnoliopsida; Myrtales; Myrtaceae.